AACGGGUGAGGAACACGUGAGAAACCUGCCUUUCAUUCUGGGAUAACACCGGGAAACCGGUGCUAAUACCGGAUACUCCGUCUUGGCGGCAUCGCCGAGCCGGGAAAAAAUUUUGAUGAAAGAUGGUCUCGCGGCCUAUCAGCUAGUUGGUGAGGUAAUGGCUCACCAAGGCGACGACGGGUAGCCGGCCUGAGAGGGCGACCGGCCACACUGGGACUGAGACACGGCCCAGACUCCUACGGGAGGCAGCAGUAGGGAAUAUUGGGCAAUGGGCGCAAGCCUGACCCAGCGACGCCGCGUGAGGGAUGAAGGUCUUCGGAUUGUAAACCUCUUUCAGUAGGGAAGAAGCGAAAGUGACGGUACCUAAAGAAGAAGCACCGGCUAACUAUGUGCCAGCAGCCGCGGUAAUACAUAGGGUGCAAGCGUUGUCCGGAAUUAUUGGGCGUAAAGAGCUCGUAGGUCGUUUGUCGCGUCGAUUGUGAAAAUCUGAGGCCCAACCUCAGACCUGCAGUCGAUACGGGCAAACUAGAGUGUGGUAGGGGAGACUGGAAUUCCUGGUGUAGCGGUGGAAUGCGCAGAUAUCAGGAGGAACACCAAUGGCGAAGGCAGGUCUCUGGGCCAUAACUGACACUGAGGAGCGAAAGUGCGGGGAGCGAACAGGAUUAGAUACCCUGGUAGUCCGCACCGUAAACGGUGGGCACUAGUUGUGGGAACCUUCCACGGUUUCCGCGACGCAGCAAACGCAUUAAGUGCCCCGCCUGGGGAGUACGAUCGCAAGAUUAAAACUCAAAGGAAUUGACGGGGCCCCGCACAAGCAGCGGAGCAUGCGGCUUAAUUCGACGCAACGCGAAGAACCUUACCAAGGCUUGACAUAUAGCGAAAAGUGGCAGAGAUGUCAUGUCCGCAAGGGCGCUAUACAGGUGGUGCAUGGUUGUCGUCAGCUCGUGUCGUGAGAUGUUGGGUUAAGUCCCGCAACGAGCGCAACCCUCGUUCUGUGUUACCAGCAUUCAGUUGGGGACUCACAGGAGACUGCCGGGGUCAACUCGGAGGAAGGUGGGGAUGACGUCAAAUCAUCAUGCCCCUUAUGUCUUGGGCUGCACGCAUGCUACAAUGGCCGGUACA
RNAcentral lists this ribosomal RNA (1122 nucleotides) under uncultured bacterium. RNAcentral describes it as "bacterial SSU rRNA". It matches the Rfam family "Bacterial small subunit ribosomal RNA", at positions 101 to 1241 of the family's 1533-position model. The record is from RNAcentral.